GCUGGGAUGGCGGAACCAGGUUAACGCGCCGGACUUGAGAUCCGGUGGGCUUUUUGCCCGUGCAGGUUCGAAUGAACCUUUUACUCAAAAGCUUCAAUGGAAAACCAGUAGCUAACGCGUACAAGGUUUUGGAUGUCCUGCUCCCAGCG
RNAcentral lists this transfer RNA (149 nucleotides) under Candidatus Aenigmatarchaeota archaeon. RNAcentral describes it as "tRNA-Ser". It matches the Rfam family "tRNA". From Rfam's summary of the family: Transfer RNA (tRNA) molecules are approximately 80 nucleotides in length. Their secondary structure includes four short double-helical elements and three loops (D, anti-codon, and T loops). Further hydrogen bonds mediate the characteristic L-shaped molecular structure. tRNAs have two regions of fundamental functional importance: the anti-codon, which is responsible for specific mRNA codon recognition, and the 3' end, to which the tRNAs corresponding amino acid is attached (by aminoacyl-tRNA synthetases). tRNAs cope with the degeneracy of the genetic code in two manners: having more than one tRNA (with a specific anti-codon) for a particular amino acid; and 'wobble' base-pairing, i.e. permitting non-standard base-pairing at the 3rd anti-codon position. Lineage: Archaea; Nanobdellati; Candidatus Aenigmatarchaeota. The record is from RNAcentral.